GAACCAUCCGGAGCGGCCAAGAGACCUGGCUCAAUGACGCCGCAGCAACCCGUCAGGGCAGGACGUCCUGCCUGCAGAAGGUGCUACUGCCAGGACCGAUGGAAA
This 105-nucleotide non-coding RNA is filed under the name Arthrobacter sp. RNAcentral describes it as "SAM-I sequence". It matches the Rfam family "SAM riboswitch aptamer (S box leader)". Rfam says of the family: The SAM riboswitch is found upstream of a number of genes which code for proteins involved in methionine or cysteine biosynthesis in Gram-positive bacteria. The SAM riboswitch acts at the level of transcription termination control. The predicted structure consists of a complex stem-loop region followed by a single stem loop terminator region. Lineage: Bacteria; Bacillati; Actinomycetota; Actinomycetes; Micrococcales; Micrococcaceae. The record is from RNAcentral.